Molecule: long non-coding RNA, 3336 nt
Organism: Oncorhynchus keta (chum salmon)
Lineage: Eukaryota; Metazoa; Chordata; Actinopteri; Salmoniformes; Salmonidae
Exons: 4
Source: RefSeq, a predicted model, not a curated record
UGAGAAGGAUUACUUACCCUUACUUACCCUAUCCUAGGUAUUCCUUGAAGAGGUGGGGUUUCAGGUGUCUCCGGAAGGUGGUGAUUGACUCCGCUGUCCUGGCGUCGUGAGGGAGUAACCGCCCAUAAACAAAGAUCCUGCAAAAGUAACUUCUAAAGGAUGUUUAGAAAAUAACAUGCCUUGUGUCUGGGGUUUUACUGAGUAGUAGUAGUAUGUGAUGGUAGUGAGGAACAGUACAAUCCCCAUAGCUGUGUGUUAGUAGUGUUAAUAGUAGUGAACGGACUGAAAGGGAACUUAACAUUCACAUCAUCUCCUGCUGCCUAUUGUUGCCUCUGACCCAACGUGUCUGUCUGUCUGUCUGUCAGAGGCCCCAUCAGGGGGCAGGUCACCAGGCAGAACCAGUGAGCUAGAGAGGCCCCACCAGGGGGCAAGUCACCAGGCAGAACCAGUGAGCUAGAGAGGCCCCACCAGGGGGCAGGUCACCAGGCAGAACCAGUGAGCUAGAGAGGCCCCAUCAGGGGGCAGGUCACCAGGCAGAACCAGUGAGCUAGAGAGGCCCCACCAGGGGGCAGGACACCAGGCAGAACCAGUGAGCUAGAGAGGCCCCACCAGGGGGCAGGUCACCAGGCAGAACCAGUGAGCUAGAGAGGCCCCACCAGGGGGCAGGUCACCAGGCAGAACCAGUGAGCUAGAGAGGCCCCACCAGGGGGCAGGUCACCAGGCAGAACCAGUGAGCUAGAGAGGCCCCAUCAGGGGGCAGGUCACCAGGCAGAACCAGUGAGCUAGAGAGGCCCCACCAGGGGGCAGGUCACCAGGCAGAACCAGUGAGCUAGAGAGGCCCCACCAGGGGGCAGGUCACCAGGCAGAACCAGUGAGCUAGAGAGGCCCCAUCAGGGGGCAGGUCACCAGGCAGAACCAGUGAGCUAGAGAGGCCCCACCAGGGGGCAGGUCACCAGGCAGAACCAGUGAGCUAGAGAGGCCCCAUCAGGGGGCAGGUCACCAGGCAGAACCAGUGAGCUAGAGAGGCCCCAUCAGGGGGCAGGUCACCAGGCAGAACCAGUGAGCUAGAGAGGCCCCAUCAGGGGGCAGGUCACCAGGCAGAACCAGUGAGCUAGAGAGGCCCCAUCAGGGGGCAAGUCACCAGGCAGAAUCAGUGAGCUAGAGAGGCCCCACCAGGGGGCAGGUCACCAGGCAGAACCCGUGAGCUAGAGAGGCCCCAUCAGGGGGCAGGUCACCAGGCAGAACCAGUGAGCUAGAGAGGCCCCACCAGGGGGCAGGUCACCAGGCAGAACCAGUGAGCUAGAGAGGCCCCACCAGGGGGCAGGUCACCAGGCAGAACCAGUGAGCUAGAGAGGCCCCACCAGGGGGCAGGUCACCAGGCAGAACCAGUGAGCUAGAGAGGCCCCAUCAGGGGGCAGGUCACCAGGCAGAACCAGUGAGCUAGAGAGGCCCCACCAGGGGGCAAGUCACCAGGCAGAACCAGUGAGCUAGAGAGGCCCCACCAGGGGGCAGGUCACCAGGCAGAACCAGUGAGCUAGAGAGGCCCCAUCAGGGGGCAGGUCACCAGGCAGAACCAGUGAGCUAAGUAUCUAAUAAUAUAUUUUGGACAUAGUGUAUAUCCAGUUCAUAAGAAACACUUACUUGAAACAGGAAUUGCAUUUUUGACUCUUACUUUCAAUGAGCUGCAACUUUACUUCCCUUAUGAUCUAGAGACCAUGGUGCAAAGUCUCAGUCCUCAAAGCAGACUACUCCUUUAACCUAAUCACACUGUCGUUCUGAUCCUAACCAUACUGUUCUGGUUCUACUAUUUUAACCUAGUCACACUGUCGUUCUGAUCCUAACCAUACUGUUCUGGUUCUACUCCUUUAACCUAAUCACACUGUCGUUCUGAUCGUAACUAUCUAACUAUUCUUAUCACCUUGUCCUUUGCAGGCCAGUUCAGCUUGGCUCAGAUCGACUCCGUAGUGUGAAAAUAACUGUUUUUUUAUCCUUGCCUUGUUACCAGAGAUUGAUUUGUCGCUGGGAAACGAGGUGUGUGCACACGUCAGCCAAUCAUUACUGUUACUGUAUUUCUCAGUGUUGAGUUUACCCUGGUCAACUGUUACUGUAUUUCUCAGUGUUGAGUUUACCCUGGUCAACUGUUACUGUAUUUCUCAGUGUUGAGUUUACCCUGGUCAACUGGCUAACUCAUUGAUCCUGCCUGGUGAGUUUACCCUGGUCAACUGUUACUGUAUUUCUCAGUGUUGAGUUUACCCUGGUCAACUGGCUAACUCAUUGAUCCUGCCUGGUGAGUUUACCCUGGUCAACUGUUACUGUAUUUCUCAGUGUUGAGUUUACCCUGGUCAACUGGCUAACUCAUUGAUCCUGCCUGGUGAGUUUACCUUGGUCAACUGUUACUGUAUUUCUCAGUGUUGAGUUUACCCUGGUCAACUGUUACUGUAUUUCUCAGUGUUGAGUUUACCCUGGUCAACUGGCUAACUCAUUGAUCCUGUCUGGUGAGUUUACCCUGGUCAACUGUUACUGUAUUUCUCAGUGUUGAGUUUACCCUGGUCAACUGGCUAACUCAUUGAUCCUGCCUGGUGAGUUUACCCUGGUCAACUGUUACUGUAUUUCUCAGUGUUGAGUUUACCCUGGUCAACUGGCUAACUCAUUGAUCCUGUCUGGUGAGUUUACCCUGGUCAACUGUUACUGUAUUUCUCAGUGUUGAGUUUACCCUGGUCAACUGGCUAACUCAUUGAUCCUGUCUGGUGAGUUUACCCUGGUCAACUGUUACAACUGGGAUGUAGACUUCACAAUGAUUGUACAAACAUCAUCAUGGCAACACAGCGUGACUUAGGCCUUAUUAGUAACUGUAAUGAAAUAACAAGUGGAAUGAUUUAAUACCAGACAUGAACCCAGUUACAGUCCACUUCCACUACUUUUCCAUUUAAAUCGUGUUUGAAAUUACUAUUUGAAAAAAAAUACAAAUUCUAAUUCAUAUGACAAAGGGAAUCCAAAAGUAGUGACAUUUCCAAAACGUGUUUACGACCCUGUUAUUACAUGGUAAUUACACAGCGUAUUUCAUUGGUAGUUAAUAUGGUUUAACAAGGCGAAGCCUAUGGCGUCAAGUGUGGCCAGAAACCUUACUGUACUAGAAGGAUUGGUACACUUGCAGUCCCGCAGUCAAACACACUCCAGGUCAGGGGUGGGCAACUCCAUUCCUCCAGCGCCUGAUUGGUGUCACACUUUUUCUCCAUCCCCAGCUAAAACACCUGACUCCAAUAUCAUGAUCUUCAGUUUAGAAUGUAAUUAGUUUAAUCAGCCGUGUUUGCUAGGUGUGGGUGAAAAGUGUGACAC